Molecule: ribosomal RNA, 299 nt
Filed under: Euchoeca nebulata
Lineage: Eukaryota; Metazoa; Arthropoda; Insecta; Lepidoptera; Geometridae
Description: partial 28S ribosomal RNA
Rfam family: Eukaryotic large subunit ribosomal RNA
Source: RNAcentral
UAACUAGGAUUUCCUUAGUAGCGGCGAGCGAACAGGAAUAAGCCCAGCACUGAAUCCCGCCGUUGUAACGGCGGCGGGAGAUGUGGUGUUCGGGAGGUUCCGCUUUCUUGUCGUAGUCCACUCCUGUCCAAGUUCGUCUUGAACGGGGCCCAUUUCCCAUAGAGGGUGCCAGGCCCGUAGCGACGGAGGACUGCGGCGAGAGGGACUCUCCUCAGAGUCGGGUUGCUUGAGAGUGCAGCCCUAAGUGGGUGGUAAACUCCAUCUAAGGCUAAAUAUUACCGCGAGACCGAUAGCGAACA